Molecule: non-coding RNA, 92 nt
Filed under: Roseomonas sp. CECT 9278
Lineage: Bacteria; Pseudomonadati; Pseudomonadota; Alphaproteobacteria; Acetobacterales; Roseomonadaceae
Description: Glycine
Rfam family: Glycine riboswitch aptamer
About the family: This family represents the bacterial glycine riboswitch. Glycine riboswitches usually consist of two metabolite-binding aptamers domains with similar structures in tandem.
Source: RNAcentral
AGAUCCCGCGCGGGAGAGAGGGGCGGCGACGCCCCCGCCGAAGGCGCAACCGGCCCCCGGAAACGCUCAGGCAAAAGGGCCGCGCGGGGAAG